RNAcentral lists this ribosomal RNA (440 nucleotides) under uncultured bacterium. RNAcentral's name for it is "partial 16S ribosomal RNA". It matches the Rfam family "Bacterial small subunit ribosomal RNA", at positions 338 to 795 of the family's 1533-position model. The record is from RNAcentral.
CCUACGGGUGGCAGCAGUAAGGGAUAUUGGUCAAUGGGGGAAACCCUGAACCAGCAACGCCGCGUGAGGGAAGACGGUUUUCGGAUUGUAAACCUCUGUCCUCUGUGAAGAUGAUGACGGUACCUGAAGAAGAAGCCCCGGCUAACUACGUGCCAGCAGCCGCGGUAAUACGUAGGGGGCAAGCGUUAUCCGGAUUUACUGGGUGUAAAGGGGGCGCAGACGGCGAUGCAAGCCAGGAGUGAAAGCCCGGGGCCCAACCCCGGGACUGCUCUUGGAACUGCGUGGCUGGAGUGCAGGAGGGGCAGGCGGAAUUCCUGGUGUAGCGGUGAAAUGCGUAGAUAUCAAGAGGAACACCGGUGGCGAAGGCGGCCUGCUGGACUGCAACUGACGUUGAGGCCCGAAAGCGUGGGGAGCAAACAGGAUUAGAUACCCCAGUAGUC